UGUUCAGAAAAACCAUGAUCAGAAUGGUGUA
RNAcentral lists this non-coding RNA (31 nucleotides) under Mus musculus (house mouse). The record is from RNAcentral. Lineage: Eukaryota; Metazoa; Chordata; Mammalia; Rodentia; Muridae.